AAAAGAACGAUGUUAAGCUUGAGAAAGUUCUAAAGGAAGCAGCUAUGGAAAACAAAACAAUAAUAUUAACAACUUUGAAUGCUGCCUGGGCUUCUCCUGGUUCUAUUAUAGAUUUGUUUUUUCAAAGUUUUCGGACAGGAGAUGGAACACGCAGACUCCUGGACCAUUUGGUAAUCAUUGCCUUGGACAAGAAAGCGUACAUAAGAUGAGAAGAUUUACAUGACUGCUGGAUAUUUGUCAAUGAUGUGGAGAAGGAUAGAAUUUCUGCGUGUUAUUCUCGAAAUGGGAUACAACUUUAUUUUCUCGUUUACAAAUCUCAAGUACUCCAGAGUUGAAAUUGAUGAAGUGCG
Molecule: long non-coding RNA, 350 nt
Organism: Zingiber officinale
Lineage: Eukaryota; Viridiplantae; Streptophyta; Magnoliopsida; Zingiberales; Zingiberaceae
Exons: 3
Source: RefSeq, a predicted model, not a curated record